GAGGGUGUAGCUCAAGUGGUAGGGCACAAGCUUAGCAUGCAUGGGGUCCUGGGUUCAAUCCCCAGUACCUCCU
This is a transfer RNA of Camelus ferus (Wild Bactrian camel), 73 nucleotides long. It matches the Rfam family "tRNA". Rfam says of the family: Transfer RNA (tRNA) molecules are approximately 80 nucleotides in length. Their secondary structure includes four short double-helical elements and three loops (D, anti-codon, and T loops). Lineage: Eukaryota; Metazoa; Chordata; Mammalia; Artiodactyla; Camelidae. The record is from Rfam.